UAGAUACCCCAUUAUUUUAAGAAAAUAAACCUAUACUUGAUCAAUAAUUGUUAUGUGCUUGAAAUUUAGAGAAUUUGGCGGUAUCUAAGUCUAGUUAGAGGAACCUGCUUCUUAAAACGAUAAACCACGAAGCAUCUUAUUUUUCUUUGUUUUCAGUUUGUAUACCUCCAUUAUUAAGUGAAAUUAAGAAGUUUUUGCUUUAAUAUAGAAUUGUUAUAGUAUAUUAGGUCAAGGUGCAGCUUAUGGAAAAAUUGACUGUGGGUUACAUUUUUAUUUUAAGGUCGAAAAAGAAACCUGAAAUGUGUACUUUGAAGUUGGAUUUAAUUGUAAUUUUUAUUUAACAUGUAAAAUUGAUAUUUUAGCUCUUAGAUAUGUACACAUCGCCCGUCGCUCGGCGGGAAA
Molecule: ribosomal RNA, 402 nt
Filed under: Periclimenes josephi
Lineage: Eukaryota; Metazoa; Arthropoda; Malacostraca; Decapoda; Palaemonidae
Description: partial 12S ribosomal RNA
Source: RNAcentral